RNAcentral lists this ribosomal RNA (465 nucleotides) under uncultured Klebsiella sp. Its description in RNAcentral is "bacterial SSU rRNA". It matches the Rfam family "Bacterial small subunit ribosomal RNA", at positions 338 to 795 of the family's 1533-position model. Lineage: Bacteria; Pseudomonadati; Pseudomonadota; Gammaproteobacteria; Enterobacterales; Enterobacteriaceae. The record is from RNAcentral.
CCUACGGGAGGCAGCAGUGGGGAAUAUUGCACAAUGGGCGCAAGCCUGAUGCAGCCAUGCCGCGUGUGUGAAGAAGGCCUUCGGGUUGUAAAGCACUUUCAGCGGGGAGGAAGGCGUUAAGGUUAAUAACCUUGUCGAUUGACGUUACCCGCAGAAGAAGCACCGGCUAACUCCGUACCAGCAGCCGCGGUAAUACGGAGGGUGCAAGCGUUAAUCGGAAUUACUGGGCGUAAAGCGCACGCAGGCGGUCUGUCAAGUCGGAUGUGAAAUCCCCGGGCUCAACCUGGGAACUGCAUUCGAAACUGGCAGGCUAGAGUCUUGUAGAGGGGGGUAGAAUUCCAGGUGUAGCGGUGAAAUGCGUAGAGAUCUGGAGGAAUACCGGUGGUGAAGGCGGCCCCCUGGACAAAGACUGACGCUCAGGUGCGAAAGCGUGGGGAGCAAACAGGAUUAGAUACCCCAGUAGUC